This 797-nucleotide ribosomal RNA is filed under the name uncultured Bacillota bacterium. RNAcentral describes it as "bacterial SSU rRNA". It matches the Rfam family "Bacterial small subunit ribosomal RNA", at positions 72 to 901 of the family's 1533-position model. Lineage: Bacteria; Bacillati; Bacillota. The record is from RNAcentral.
AAGGGGAGCAAUCCCUGAGUACAGUGGCGUUACGGGUGAGUAACACGUGGGUAAUCUGCCUCGAGGUGGGGAAUAACUCUGGGAAACCGGAGCUAAUACCGCAUAAGCCUGAAAAGGGAAAGGCGCAAGUCGCCUGGAGAGGAGCCCGCGGCCGAUUAGCUAGUUGGUAGGGUAAGAGCCUACCAAGGCAGAGAUCGGUAGCCGGCCUGAGAGGGCACACGGCCACACUGGCACUGAAACACGGGCCAGACUCCUACGGGAGGCAGCAGUGGGGAAUCUUGCACAAUGGGGGAAACCCUGAUGCAGCGACGCCGCGUGAGCGAUGAAGCCCUUCGGGGUGUAAAGCUCUUUCGGCCGGAACGAUAAUGACGGUACCGGCAGAAGAAGCUGCGGCUAACUACGUGCCAGCAGCCGCGGUAAUACGUAGGCAGCGAGCGUUGUUCGGAGUUACUGGGCGUAAAGCGUGCGUAGGCGGUUUUCCAAGUCUGGUGUGAAAUCUCCCGGCUCAACCGGGAGGGUGCGCUAGAAACUGGGAGGCUGGAGUGCGGGAGAGGUAGGCGGAAUUCCUGGUGUAGCGGUGAAAUGCGUAGAUAUCAGGAGGAACACCGGUGGUGUAGACGGCUUACUGGACCGCGACUGACGCUGAGGCACGAAAGCGUGGGGAGCAAACAGGAUUAGAUACCCUGGUAGUCCACGCCCUAAACGAUGCAUACUUGGUGUGGGCAGUUCAGUCUGUCUGUGCCGUAGCUAACGCGUUAAGUAUGCCGCCUGGGGAGUACGGUCGCAAGGCUGAAACU